Non-coding RNA from Araneus ventricosus, 73 nucleotides. The record is from the annotation of a GenBank genome assembly. Lineage: Eukaryota; Metazoa; Arthropoda; Arachnida; Araneae; Araneidae.
ACCACCAUAGCUCUGCGGUUAGAGCACAGGUCUUCUGCAGCGCGGGUCGUGAAUUCAAUCCUCACUGGUGGUU